CAUGCCCCAAUUAAACCCAAACCC
This 24-nucleotide microRNA is filed under the name Gallus gallus (chicken). RNAcentral's name for it is "microRNA Ros-gga". Lineage: Eukaryota; Metazoa; Chordata; Aves; Galliformes; Phasianidae. The record is from RNAcentral.